Molecule: ribosomal RNA, 218 nt
Filed under: uncultured bacterium
Lineage: Bacteria
Description: partial 16S ribosomal RNA
Rfam family: Bacterial small subunit ribosomal RNA
Source: RNAcentral
CGUGAGGAACCUACCUCGGAGUGGGGAAUAACAGACCAAAGGCCUGCUAAUACCGCAUGAUGCAGUUGGACCGCAUGGUCCUGACUGCCAAAGAUUUAUCGCUCUGAGAUGGCCUCGCGUCUGAUUAGCUUGUUGGCGGGGUAAUGGCCCACCAAGGCGACGAUCAGUAGCCGGACUGAGAGGUUGGCCGGCCACAUUGGGACUGAGACACGGCCCAG